RNAcentral lists this ribosomal RNA (2904 nucleotides) under Enterobacter hormaechei. Its description in RNAcentral is "23S ribosomal RNA". It matches the Rfam family "Bacterial large subunit ribosomal RNA". The record is from RNAcentral. Lineage: Bacteria; Pseudomonadati; Pseudomonadota; Gammaproteobacteria; Enterobacterales; Enterobacteriaceae.
GGUUAAGCGACUAAGCGUACACGGUGGAUGCCCUGGCAGUCAGAGGCGAUGAAGGACGUGCUAAUCUGCGAAAAGCGCCGGCGAGGUGAUAUGAACCCUUGACCCGUCGAUGUCCGAAUGGGGAAACCCAGUGUGUUCCGACACACUAUCGUUAACUGAAUACAUAGGUUAACGAGGCGAACCGGGGGAACUGAAACAUCUAAGUACCCCGAGGAAAAGAAAUCAACCGAGAUUCCCCCAGUAGCGGCGAGCGAACGGGGAGCAGCCCGGAGUCUGAAUCAGCUUGUGUGUUAGUGGAACGGUCUGGAAAGUCCGACGGUACAGGGUGAUAGUCCCGUACACGAAAAUGCACAUGCUGUGAACUCGAAGAGUAGGGCGGGACACGUGGUAUCCUGUCUGAAUAUGGGGGGACCAUCCUCCAAGGCUAAAUACUCCUGACUGACCGAUAGUGAACCAGUACCGUGAGGGAAAGGCGAAAAGAACCCCGGCGAGGGGAGUGAAAAAGAACCUGAAACCGUGUACGUACAAGCAGUGGGAGCCUCUUUAUGGGGUGACUGCGUACCUUUUGUAUAAUGGGUCAGCGACUUAUAUUCUGUAGCAAGGUUAACCGUAUAGGGGAGCCGAAGGGAAACCGAGUCUUAACUGGGCGUUAAGUUGCAGGGUAUAGACCCGAAACCCGGUGAUCUAGCCAUGGGCAGGUUGAAGGUUGGGUAACACUAACUGGAGGACCGAACCGACUAAUGUUGAAAAAUUAGCGGAUGACCUGUGGCUGGGGGUGAAAGGCCAAUCAAACCGGGAGAUAGCUGGUUCUCCCCGAAAGCUAUUUAGGUAGCGCCUCGUGAACUCAUCUUCGGGGGUAGAGCACUGUUUCGGCUAGGGGGCCAUCCCGGCUUACCAACCCGAUGCAAACUACGAAUACCGAAGAAUGUUAUCACGGGAGACACACGGCGGGUGCUAACGUCCGUCGUGAAGAGGGAAACAACCCAGACCGCCAGCUAAGGUCCCAAAGUCAUGGUUAAGUGGGAAACGAUGUGGGAAGGCACAGACAGCCAGGAUGUUGGCUUAGAAGCAGCCAUCAUUUAAAGAAAGCGUAAUAGCUCACUGGUCGAGUCGGCCUGCGCGGAAGAUGUAACGGGGCUAAACCAUGCACCGAAGCUGCGGCAGCGACACUAUGUGUUGUUGGGUAGGGGAGCGUUCUGUAAGCCGUUGAAGGUGUGCUGUGAGGCAUGCUGGAGGUAUCAGAAGUGCGAAUGCUGACAUAAGUAACGAUAAAGCGGGUGAAAAGCCCGCUCGCCGGAAGACCAAGGGUUCCUGUCCAACGUUAAUCGGGGCAGGGUGAGUCGACCCCUAAGGCGAGGCCGAAAGGCGUAGUCGAUGGGAAACAGGUUAAUAUUCCUGUACUUGGUGUUACUGCGAAGGGGGGACGGAGAAGGCUAUGUCAGCCGGGCGACGGUUGUCCCGGUUUAAGCAUGUAGGCGGAGGUUCCAGGUAAAUCCGGUACCUUUUAACGCUGAGGUGUGAUGACGAGGCACUACGGUGCUGAAGUGAUAAAUGCCCUGCUUCCAGGAAAAGCCUCUAAGCAUCAGGUAACACGAAAUCGUACCCCAAACCGACACAGGUGGUCAGGUAGAGAAUACCAAGGCGCUUGAGAGAACUCGGGUGAAGGAACUAGGCAAAAUGGUGCCGUAACUUCGGGAGAAGGCACGCUGAUGUGUAGGUGAAGCCCCUGCGGGCGGAGCUGAAAUCAGUCGAAGAUACCAGCUGGCUGCAACUGUUUAUUAAAAACACAGCACUGUGCAAACACGAAAGUGGACGUAUACGGUGUGACGCCUGCCCGGUGCCGGAAGGUUAAUUGAUGGGGUUAGCUGUAAGGCGAAGCUCUUGAUCGAAGCCCCGGUAAACGGCGGCCGUAACUAUAACGGUCCUAAGGUAGCGAAAUUCCUUGUCGGGUAAGUUCCGACCUGCACGAAUGGCGUAAUGAUGGCCAGGCUGUCUCCACCCGAGACUCAGUGAAAUUGAACUCGCUGUGAAGAUGCAGUGUACCCGCGGCAAGACGGAAAGACCCCGUGAACCUUUACUAUAGCUUGACACUGAACACUGGUCCUUGAUGUGUAGGAUAGGUGGGAGGCUUUGAAGCGUGGACGCCAGUCUGCGUGGAGCCAACCUUGAAAUACCACCCUUUAAUGGCUGGUGUUCUAACGUAGACCCGUAAUCCGGGUUGCGGACAGUGUCUGGUGGGUAGUUUGACUGGGGCGGUCUCCUCCCAAAGAGUAACGGAGGAGCACGAAGGUUGGCUAAUCCUGGUCGGACAUCAGGAGGUUAGUGCAAUGGCAUAAGCCAGCUUGACUGCGAGCGUGACGGCGCGAGCAGGUGCGAAAGCAGGUCAUAGUGAUCCGGUGGUUCUGAAUGGAAGGGCCAUCGCUCAACGGAUAAAAGGUACUCCGGGGAUAACAGGCUGAUACCGCCCAAGAGUUCAUAUCGACGGCGGUGUUUGGCACCUCGAUGUCGGCUCAUCACAUCCUGGGGCUGAAGUAGGUCCCAAGGGUAUGGCUGUUCGCCAUUUAAAGUGGUACGCGAGCUGGGUUUAGAACGUCGUGAGACAGUUCGGUCCCUAUCUGCCGUGGGCGCUGGAGAAUUGAGGGGGGCUGCUCCUAGUACGAGAGGACCGGAGUGGACGCAUCACUGGUGUUCGGGUUGUCAUGCCAAUGGCACUGCCCGGUAGCUAAAUGCGGAAGAGAUAAGUGCUGAAAGCAUCUAAGCACGAAACUUGCCCCGAGAUGAGUUCUCCCUGAGACUUUAAGUCUCCUGAAGGAACGUUGAAGACGACGACGUUGAUAGGUCGGGUGUGUAAGCGCAGCGAUGCGUUGAGCUAACCGAUACUAAUGAACCGUGAGGCUUAACCUU